AUAGAGGCCUACCAUGGUGGUAACGGGUAACGGGGUGUUAGGGCACGACACCGGAGAGGGAGCCUGAGAAGCGGCUACCACAUCCAAGGAUGGCAGCAGGCGCGCAAAUUACCCAAUCCCGACACGGGGAGGUAGUGACAAUAAAUAACAAUACGGGGUUCUUUCGGAUCUCGUAAUUGGAAUGAGUACAAUUUAAAUCUCUUAACGAGGAACAAUUGGAGGGCAAGUCUGGUGCCAGCAGCCGCGGUAAUUCCAGCUCCAAUAGCGUAUAUUAAAGUUGUUGCAGUUAAAAAGCUCGUAGUUGAAUUUCGGGGUUAGUAGGUUGGUCAUGCCUCUGGUAUGUACUGGUCUCACUGAUUCCUCCUUCCUUAUGAACCGUAAUGCCAUUAAUUUGGUGUUGCGGGGAAUUUGGACUGUUACUUUGAAAAAAUUAGAGUGUUUAAAGCAAGCUAACGCUUGAAUACAUUAGCAUGGAAUAAUGAAAUAGGACGUUCGAUCUUAUUUUGUUGGUUUCUAGGAUUGACGUAAUGAUUAAUAGGGAUAGUUGGGGGCAUUAGUAUUCAAUUGUCAGAGGUGAAAUUCUUGGAUUUAUUGAAGACUAACUACUGCGAAAGCAUUUGCCAAGGAUGUUUUCAUUAAUCAAGAACGAAAGUUAGGGGAUCGAAGACGAUCAGAUACCGUCGUAGUCUUAACCAUAAACUAUGCCGACUAGG
Molecule: ribosomal RNA, 713 nt
Filed under: uncultured fungus
Lineage: Eukaryota; Fungi
Description: SSU rRNA
Rfam family: Eukaryotic small subunit ribosomal RNA
Source: RNAcentral